AAGAGUCCUUGUUGACAUGGCACUGCUAACCUAACCGCACAGACCCUCUUCCCUUCUUCUUCCUCGACGAAACAUCAAUUUGAUUUUCUAGCUUUAAUAUUUAGCCCUCGAUCCAUCUCCACUUCCAGAUUUCAUUCCGCGAUUGUUUGAAUUUUUCUGUUCAUCCGAUGUACGAUGAACGGAGGUCCUGGUUUCAAUAAUUAAUGCUCCGGUCACGAGAGCAUUCGUCAUCACGAGCGCCCUCUUCACUGUCUUCUUGGGGAUCCGUGGUGGAGGAGGUUCUUCCAAGCUCGCCUUGUUUAUUACAAACUUCUAAUAAACUGUUGAAUGAGGACAAGCUAAUAAAUUAAACUAUUGAGAGAAGAGAAGAGAAAGGUAAUUCGAAGAAGAAGGAAGGAAGGAUGGGUGGAGGAAUGGAGACGAACAAGAACAAGUUCAUCGAGGACUGGGGAUCCGCUAGGGAGAAUCUGGAGCAUAACUUCCGAUGGACACGUCGCAACUUCGCUCUCAUCAGAAUCUUUGGCAUCGCCCUCCCCAUCCUCGUCUACAAAGGCCAUCGUCAAAGAUUUUGUAACUCUCAAUCUCUCACUCGAUUCCAUAUCCCAUUUCAAUAUUACUCUUGUUGUAAUUACAUUUGAAUCAAAUCUGUUCUUUUGUUUGGUUAACACAUUACAUAUGAAUAUUAAUGCAUGUAUUCAGAGGACAAAUAAAACAUUUGGAUAAACAUUAUUUUCAUGAAACGUCAAGAUGUCUAACAAUAGUAUGUGGAGAUCACACUGUUCCACUGUGGAGUGCACGUUAGGCUUAUAUUUCGCAUGAACAGUUUUUGUUAUUUAUAUGAAAUGUAUUUGACUAAGCAAAACUAAGUAUAUUUAGUAGUAGUCAUCAAUUUAAUUACAUAGAACUAUUCCACAUUUUGUUUUACAAACAUAACAUAAAACAAGUCACAUGAAGAGGCGGC
This is a long non-coding RNA of Raphanus sativus (radish), 961 nucleotides long. RefSeq lists it as uncharacterized. NCBI's taxonomy places the organism in Eukaryota, Viridiplantae, Streptophyta, Magnoliopsida, Brassicales, Brassicaceae. The transcript is spliced from 3 exons. The record is from RefSeq and is a predicted model, not a curated record.